AAUAAUUUAAUUAACAAAAUCAAACUAGUAAUAUAAAUUUAUAUUUUAGCUAGAACAAAUAUACGUAUAAAAAUAGUAUAUGGUAGAGUGUAAUGGUAAAUUAUUAGUAGAUUACAGCUAAAAAUUCUGAUAUUUGAUAAAAUGUAAAAACUUAUAUUAAAAAUUAGAAAAGUUGAUAUAAAUAAUGUUCAUCAUUCUAUUCGCUUUCGCAAGAAAUAAAAAAAGCAUAAGACUAAAGAUAUUUAUGUAUAUAAUGUAACGUUAUUUAAAACCACACUGUUCCCGGAUGAAUAAUAAUAGAAAAAAAUAAUCUUUCAAGUCACGUUUCAUGCUCGUUAUAUUAACGUACAAGGAUCUAUUAUAAAUCACGACUCCCCCGACUCGGUGAAAGCUAAUCCCAGGCAAAGCUUUAGAUAUUCUUAACAAAUCACAGUCGAUUGCACGGUUGCGACCCGGCACUUAACGAACUUAUCUCGGCUCGCCCCGAGAGAAUUGAUCACCGAGAUAUAAGACUUCCGGCACGAAUUUCCGAAGCCACCUCGGCCAGCUCCGGCUACGUGAUCUCAUAAGUAACUGCACAAAAACACGCCUAAUCCAUUUUCCGCGGCCAUGAUGCACCAAGCACGUGAUCACUAUCGUUUUCCUCCAUUUUGCAAUGCUUUUUUAUUCAUUCGCGAUUCUAUAGAUUCUGCAAACGGAUAGCGCAUCAUUUUAUUUCUGUUACCUUUUAUUCAUGCGCUUGACGGGCAAGCGGAUUAAAUAUUGUAAAACGUCAAAAAAAGUCGUCCAAUAUUCUUUUAGGAGUAUAGCAUUAUAGUAACGCGUGGAUUGCUUGCUCUCUCUCUCUCUCUCUCUCUCUCUCUCUCUCACGUUUAUGUUUUGCGUGGCAGAGGACAAAUCGUAAAACUAUAAUCUCAUAUAAUUGACGGUAAUUUCUUGAUUUUGUUUUUGAUUUCAAAAUCAUUUCGCACAUGCCACGCAUGUCCUUUCAUAUGUGUAAUUUUACAUUUUUGAUGUUUGUAACAAGUACUGAACAUCUUAAACAGUAGAUAAAAAUUCAGAACGCCGCAUCAACCGUAUUGUUAACCAGACGGUUUCGUGCAUUUUUGCAUAAUAGAUUCGUGAACCAUUACGCGUCGUAGCCAGCUGACGUGCCGAAUUCCCAGGUAUUAUUAUCUCGCGUGUAACAGAUGUCGCGAAUUUCCAGAAAUUGCUCUCGAUUUCUUGAUAAAUUAAUCGUAGAAUUGGGUAGCGCCAAAUCGGGCCAACCGUUUCCUACUAUUGGGUUAUCGUGUAAUUUUAACGUCGCUCGCCAAAAAUUAAACUCAUCCUACUGAUUCAGUAUUAGGACGCUCUCAAAUUUUUCUGAGUGGAUACAAUGAAAUAGCAACAGAUUUCAUUUUUUUUAGCAAUUGAUACGUUUUGAAGCAGUCGUAUAAUCUUUCUCUCCAAUUGGACAAUUCCCGCUUGUCCUGCACUUCUUUCCAAUUACAGUUCCUGAUCAUUACGAGAACAAAUUGUAUCUCGUUACAGCUUCAUAUAAUCGUAUCUCGAAAAAUGUAAUAGAAAGCUGUGUGAUUUCGCAAAGUCUCUAAUACCAGGUACCGCAAGAUAAUUGUCAUUAUGCAAUUAUUGCGUAAUCUGAUCGCAGUAUAACUCAGUAUGCUUUUUCGUUUAACAUUAUUAUUUAGAAAUGUUCAGAAAUGGAGAUUACGAUUCUAGUAACAAGAAAUGAUAUAACUUAACACAAGAUACAGUUUAAAAAUCUUGUUAUGUUUUAUAUUAUUUUUUUCCGAUUUUUAACAAAAUCAUAUGUCUUUCAAAUCGGCAUGUUUUUUUAAGUCGACACAGUUCGUAACACAUGUUCAAUACAUUAACUCUGUUUCGUACAUUAGCUACGUUUUAUUUUGGGGCCAACAACACAUUUAAGAAACUAUUCGAAAGACCGUACUAAUAAUGAAACUUGUGAAACGCGAAGAUAAUUACAGUAUGGAUAAAGCAACAGCGGAAUAUUCAUUACGUUAGAUAGUAAACGUUGUCAGAGUCGCAUACUAAAUAAAUAGGGGAAAAAAAAAACAUUUUCAUCUGUCCUUUCCAUUAUUUGAAUGAAAAAACCUGUUAGAAGUUAAAAUAACCUAUCAGUAUGGCAAAACCAAAAAUGAACGACACGAAAAAGACAUCUCUUUGAAUGCAGGUACGGUGAUGUACGCGCUGAUGGGUGCGAGGUGGCUUGUUUCCGUUAUGAUAGCACAGCAUGCAGUAUACAUCGCCGUGUAAGCUAAUUACCGCGGUAUUUUAGCCGUGCGAGACCACUCACCUCACGGACUACGAAAUUACGCUGCGAGUUUUGACAAGGAAAUAUUCCAAAACGGAUAUGAUUUAUUAUCACCACAAACAGUUGCCGUAGUUAUAUUUUCAUAAAGAUAAUUAUUAAAAUUUUCAUUAAUUUCAUCAUUGCUUAUAUGCUAGUAGAUGCAUUCAAACAAAAAAUAAGAUUCACUAUUUAACAUUGUUAACUUUUUCUCACUCAUUUAAUCUAUGAUUAAACAAUAGCUAAUAGAAAUCAGCUAGCUCAGCUUGGCUCCGUGAUUAAUUUAUUGGAAACUUAACAACAAUUUCUGUUUAAAAUAAUUAAUUAAAAUGCACCAAAGAAUCUCGUUAACACAUUUUCGCGUAUACAUUGUUCUAAGGGCUUCAAACAACAUUUUUUAAUUUAAUUAUAAUGCUUUUCGCAAAUACUCUACGCAAAUGUUAUUUGCAAUUUUAUUCAAAAUAUCUGGUUAUCUUCGAAAUUUCUCUUCAAGUUGAAAUAGUGCCCGUGUCAAAUAGUGCUUGACACUAGCUAUUAUUUAAUCGCUUGGUAUGAAUUAGUACAGAUCGUUAUGCGAGACAGCGCGGAAGAGAGGGCGCCAAGACGUGGAGAAGAGAAAGGACCUAUGAGAAAAUGGUCAGACCGUUAGGAAGAGGGGUCGCAGAGUAGGAGCGGAGAUUGGGAGAAGGGAGGAGGCUUGAUACGUUCGAGGAGGGUAGCGUUGAUGCAGUCGCACCAGCCAGUCAGUGGCUGCUACGGCACAGCGACGCGCGCGCGUGCUCCUUUUCAAAUCGUUUUCGGGCCUAACAAACGCAAUAAACGAAAAAUGUUUUCGUCGGAAUAUGACACAAAACUUAUUACUUGUUAUGACACGAUAAUCCCGUUAAUUAAAUAAUCGCCAAUUGUACCCACCGAUGCUGUCUCUCGUUUCCCGCCGAUCGCGAUUACGAGUUUUCUGCGAAAUCGGUGUGUUACAUGCGUGACAAAAAGGAUGACAGCUUCUUGCAAAGUAUCCCUCUAAUUUUUUUUUUAUACGUGCAAAAUUAAAAUUCAUAAAGCUCCGUAAAAAAGAAUAAUGUGAGAUAAAGAUUAAUGUGUUGAAUUAAUACUAUUGUUUUUCUUCACAAUAACAUUUCAAAUGAAGAUAAUAAGUAGGUAAUCAAAUCGUUGACAAAGAGAUGCUUUUGAAGAUCUGAUGACAAAAUAUCCUCAGGCUUGCAAUUCGAUUGCACGUUUAUCUCACGCGUAUGUGACAUCCACAAUUGAUUGCCAUGGGAUGGUGAGCAACAGGUCGUCUAGGAGUGACACUUGGUCAUGUAUCUAUCGAACGAUCACGCGUGAGAUCAUAAAACCUUCCGUAUAAGUCAUAACGAAUGUCC
Molecule: unclassified non-coding RNA, 3690 nt
Filed under: Monomorium pharaonis (pharaoh ant)
Lineage: Eukaryota; Metazoa; Arthropoda; Insecta; Hymenoptera; Formicidae
Description: uncharacterized LOC105831155, transcript variant X2
Source: RNAcentral